GACGGAGGAUGCAAGUGUUAUCCGGAAUUACUGGGCGUAAAGCGCACGUAGGUGGUUUGUUAAGUCAGCUGUGAAAUCCCCGGGCUCAACCUGGGCACUGCAGUUGAAACUGGCAAGCUAGAGUAGGGUAGAGGGGUGUGGAAUUCCAGGUGUAGCGGUGAAAUGCGUAGAUAUCUGGAGGAACAUCAGUGGCGAAGGCGACACCCUGGACUCAUACUGACACUGAGGUGCGAAAGCGUGGGGAGCAAACAGG
RNAcentral lists this ribosomal RNA (253 nucleotides) under uncultured bacterium. RNAcentral's name for it is "partial 16S ribosomal RNA". It matches the Rfam family "Bacterial small subunit ribosomal RNA", at positions 524 to 776 of the family's 1533-position model. The record is from RNAcentral.